RNAcentral lists this transfer RNA (70 nucleotides) under Agromyces mediolanus. Its description in RNAcentral is "tRNA-Gly". The record is from RNAcentral. Lineage: Bacteria; Bacillati; Actinomycetota; Actinomycetes; Micrococcales; Microbacteriaceae.
GUCGACGACGAGGUGCCGCACCGGGCCGUUGCCGGCGGCCCGGGCGCGUUCGACCGCGCGCUUGACGGCG